AUUGAUCAUCUCGACAUCGAGAUGUAUGAAUAUUAAAAAAAAAUAUUUUUGAAUCCUAAAAAUAGUGCAUCUUACAACACAUUAUUUAGACUGUCCAUUUUCAAAAUUUUCAUAUGUUUAUAGAUCUUCUUGAUUUUAACCAUUUUUGGAGUUUAAAAUUUUCUAAUUAGAUAUGAAAAUAGUUUUUAAGAUAAUCAUGAAAAAAAUUUAUAACAAAAUUACAUGUU
Molecule: long non-coding RNA, 227 nt
Filed under: Amborella trichopoda
Lineage: Eukaryota; Viridiplantae; Streptophyta; Magnoliopsida; Amborellales; Amborellaceae
Description: long non-coding RNA (ATRI_LNC001353)
Source: RNAcentral